Molecule: transfer RNA, 95 nt
Filed under: Kitasatospora phosalacinea
Lineage: Bacteria; Bacillati; Actinomycetota; Actinomycetes; Kitasatosporales; Streptomycetaceae
Description: tRNA-Pro
Source: RNAcentral
CGGGAGCGGGGCUCCGGGGGCCGGGCUCCGGGCUCCGGGGGCCGGGGCCAGGGUCCGGGCUCCGGGCUCCGGGCUCCGGGCUCCGGGCUCCGGGC